UGGCACCUUGAUGUCGGCUCAUCACAUCCUGGGGCUGUAGCCGGUCCCAAGGGUUUGGCUGUUCGCCAAUUAAAGUGGUACGUGAGCUGGGUUUAGAACGUCGUGAGACAGUUCGGUCCCUAUCUGCCGUGGGUGUAGGAAUAUUGACAGGAUCUGUCCCUAGUACGAGAGGACCGGGAUGGACAUAUCUCUGGUGGACCUGUUGUGGCGCCAGCCGCAUAGCAGGGUAGCUAUAUAUGGAAUGGAUAACCGCUGAAGGCAUCUAAGCGGGAAACCCCCCUCAAAACCAGGUCUCGCCUGAGAGCCGUAGUAGACCACUACGUCGAUAGGCCGGGUGUGGAAGCGCAGUAAUGCG
This 355-nucleotide ribosomal RNA is filed under the name Prymnesium parvum. Its description in RNAcentral is "partial Bacterial large subunit ribosomal RNA". It matches the Rfam family "Bacterial large subunit ribosomal RNA", at positions 2519 to 2885 of the family's 2925-position model. Lineage: Eukaryota; Haptophyta; Prymnesiales; Prymnesiaceae. The record is from RNAcentral.